This is a non-coding RNA of Cajanus cajan (pigeon pea), 303 nucleotides long. Lineage: Eukaryota; Viridiplantae; Streptophyta; Magnoliopsida; Fabales; Fabaceae. The record is from RefSeq and is a predicted model, not a curated record.
CAUAGAAGGGUCAAUACAUGAUCGAUCUCUAAUGAACUCUCCCUUGACACUGCCAAAUCCAUGAGUGCAUUUGAGCAAGAGAACACUAGAUGUAACAACUAAGAAGUUUGGAAGGGGAUUGUGUGCAUACCUACUGCCCAGUCAUAUUGUUGUGUACCUACCUACUACCUAGUUAGCUUGUUGCGUGCUUAUUAGGUACUCCAGUGAAAAUAUAUAUUCUUAUGCUUCUUAAUUUGUUGAAGUUAUUUCUUUAGCUUUAUGUUUUAUUUAAAUAUAAAUAACUAUUUGAUUCCUAUUUGAGUA